Molecule: ribosomal RNA, 732 nt
Filed under: Triticum aestivum (bread wheat)
Lineage: Eukaryota; Viridiplantae; Streptophyta; Magnoliopsida; Poales; Poaceae
Description: partial small subunit ribosomal RNA
Source: RNAcentral
AUGAUAGGAACGGGCGAGGCAAACACAGCCAAGGAGAAGCCCCUAGCGGUUGAUUCUCAUGCUCAAAUAAUGCCCAUAUGGAUGGUGGUCAAGUACAAGUUAUGCACUAGAACCGAAGGAUUCAGACAUGAUUUUGAUGACGCUAAAUAUAUUGAUGCUUAUGUGUGUGGUAUGGCGGGUGAACCUCCAUGGAGGCUCACUUGCAUCUACGGCGAGCCACAGACGGAGGACCGACACCACAUGUUGUCGAUUCUCCGUGAUCUUCACUAUCAAGCCGACAUGUCACAUGCGUUAUGUGGUCUUGGUGAUCUUGGAUUUUCUGGUCUACCAUACACUUAUGAUAACCGACAGUCAGGCCGAGCAAACGUCAAAGUUAGGCUUGACCGGGUGGCGGAAAACAAGCAAUGGCACGAUAUGUUUUUGGAGGCCGAUGUUAAAAACCUGGUUGUUUUUUGCUCUGCUGCUUCGUUGGACCGGCUCGGAUCCGGAUCGGUUUUACUACCCCACAACCCUGAUGAAAGUUCUUGUUCCUGCGAUUUGUCAGUUGCCAUUUCCCUCUCCUCGCCGCUUAUUUCAACACCUGCACCCAUCACCAUACUCGUCUCGCCUCUCGCCAUCCAAACCCUCACGUUUCUCUCGCGUCCCCUCGUCCCAGCUCCCAAAGCAAGCGAGCAGCGCGCGACCAACCAAGCAGAAAGAGACAGCCCGAAGCAGGAGCCGGCCAUCCAUUGA